This 280-nucleotide unclassified non-coding RNA is filed under the name Hevea brasiliensis (rubber tree). The record is from RNAcentral. Lineage: Eukaryota; Viridiplantae; Streptophyta; Magnoliopsida; Malpighiales; Euphorbiaceae.
AGACUGCUUCUGCUAUUCCCCAACAUUUCAGUAUUUCACUUCAGUAAAGAUUGUAAUUUUGCAACGGAAGAGAAAUGUUGGGGAAUAGCAGAAGCAGUCUGGCAGCUAGUGAUGAAGUCUGUCUCCUUUAGAGGUUCGCAGAUUUUUUUUUGUUUUCAUUUUUAUCUAAUUUAUGCGAAGGGGUUUACAAUGUAUUGUGACUUCUCUGAUACUGUUCAUUGUAUUGAUUUAUGAGCUUCACAAAUUUCCUGCAUAGCAAUUACUCUUGGAAAAGACUUAA